RNAcentral lists this ribosomal RNA (205 nucleotides) under uncultured bacterium. RNAcentral describes it as "partial 16S ribosomal RNA". It matches the Rfam family "Bacterial small subunit ribosomal RNA", at positions 524 to 728 of the family's 1533-position model. The record is from RNAcentral.
UACGGAGGGUGCGAGCGUUGUCCGGAAUCAUUGGGCGUAAAGGGCGCGUAGGUGGCCCGGUCAGCGUGCGGUGAAAGCUCGGGGCUCAACCCCGAGUCGGCCGUGCGAACUGCUGGGCUUGAGCACUGUAGAGGCAGGCGGAAUUCCGGGUGUAGCGGUGGAAUGCGUAGAGAUCCGGAAGAACACCGGUGGCGAAGGCGGCCUG